This 590-nucleotide long non-coding RNA is filed under the name Crocodylus porosus (Australian saltwater crocodile). RNAcentral describes it as "lncRNA (ENSCPRG00005015324.1)". Lineage: Eukaryota; Metazoa; Chordata; Crocodylia; Crocodylidae. The record is from RNAcentral.
AUUUUCACCUUGAAGCCAAGCCUUGUAAGAUGCUGAGGCUUUCACUGCUGCAUUGACUUGUUUCAGAACCUGCUUUUGGAGAAAACAAGCCAGAAAGCUCUUGACCAAAGGCAGGAGGCCCUGCCCCUGCUGCUUAGGUGCUCCCCAGAACCUCCUCUUGCUGGAACCUGUGGGGUUUCUGUGCAAGUCCAUGGCUCCUGAUACUGCUGUCACUGCUGCCUUUGGGCCCUCAAGACAGGCAGCCAGCCGGAGGUGCCCAUCAUCGACACCCAGAGAUACAAAAAGGACUGCAGUUCCUACACAAGCUCAUUGUCUUGCUCGGUCAAGAAGGAUGUGAUCUGUGAUGGAUAUGCAUUAGAAGCCAAAGGCAUUUGUAUGGACCCUCCCCUCCUGCUCUCUAGAGCAGCCACAGGUGAUUUUGGACUUGGCUGGUGGAGGCAGCCUCGGGAAGACAUCUUGGUGCUGAGACCUGCGGAGUUUCUUUUCAAGCCCCUGCCUCCUGCUAGUGCUGCCUUUUGGCGUGAGUGUUUGCUUGGGUCUUUCCACGCGUAAGUGUUCUCCUGGGGUGGGAGGUUGGUUGGUUGGUUGGG